RNAcentral lists this non-coding RNA (422 nucleotides) under Rattus norvegicus (Norway rat). RNAcentral describes it as "Eukaryotic large subunit ribosomal RNA". It matches the Rfam family "Eukaryotic large subunit ribosomal RNA", at positions 2472 to 2818 of the family's 3401-position model. Lineage: Eukaryota; Metazoa; Chordata; Mammalia; Rodentia; Muridae. The record is from Rfam by way of RNAcentral.
AGAUUUACCUGCCCCUGCCUCCACAAAUAGAGUUAAGGGAGUGUACCACCAUACCCAAUUUGACUUCCUUUCCUUUAACUACUCUCAUUUUUUUUUCACUGACUGAGUAAGGGAGUGGGUAGAGCAAGCCUGAGAGGCUUGAGAGCUUCAGGUGCCACGUGCCUAUCUAUGCAGGUGAACCUGUGGAUCAGCAAGACCCACUCUGAGUACAGUCCCAGGUGGGGAGAUUGACUGGGACAGUAAACCUAUUAACCUUUAAUGUAGGUGUCCUUAGGUGAGCUCAGGGAGGACAGAAAUCUUCUGUGGAAGAGAAGAACAAUAGCUCACUUGAUCUUGAUUUUCAAUAGGAACACAAACCAUGAAAGCAGGGCCUCAGGAUCCUUCUGACUAUUUGGGUUUAAAGCAGGUGUCAGAAAAAUUAC